RNAcentral lists this ribosomal RNA (1278 nucleotides) under Triticum aestivum (bread wheat). RNAcentral describes it as "partial small subunit ribosomal RNA". The record is from RNAcentral. Lineage: Eukaryota; Viridiplantae; Streptophyta; Magnoliopsida; Poales; Poaceae.
AUGGCCGGAAGCCGUCGCCGCCGCCGCCGCCGCGCUAGAGCGCUGCUGCCGCAGCAGGGCACCGAACCCUCGCCACCGGAAGACGCCGCUCUGAGCUCCAGAGAAGUUACUACUGUGGAGAGUCCCUGCCAUGCCUCAGCCUCUACCUUUUUGCCUAUGCCUGGACCUCAUGUUUGUGCAGAUCUCCUGGACAGCCUGCUUCAUGAAAUUAUUGCUCUCUUUAACUCAUUCCAAGACUUCCUUGCUUUCAUUGGCACCUGCCACUCAUGGCGCACUGCAGUCUCUACCUUUCCCUCUGUGUAUACAUUCAGCUUCCCGCCACUCCAUUUCAAACCAGAUGGUCCAUAUAUUCAUCCACAUAGUGGCGAUAUCAAGCCCAUCCUUUUAUCUAAUUGCAAAUGGCAGCUCAGUGAUCCUACCAAGAAAAACUUAUCCCUUGUGUGUUCAGUGCCUGAAAAUAGUCCAAAUGCAAUGCACUAUUUGGGCUGCUCAUAUGGGUAUCUUAUCUUCUCCUACGAGGAGCACUGCCUCCUUGUGGAUGUGUACACUGGUACCAAGGUGAAGCCCCCCAAACUCCCACCCAACAACAAUCUUGGAUACUUUUGUGGCAUAGGCAUCCUUACGGCUCCAUUAAUUUCAGCCAACUCUCGCCUCCUCCUUUUCUCGAAGAUUUCCAUGUUCGAGUGGCAGGUUGGAGCAAACUCCUGGUCAGAGCACGCUCUUGAUCUUGGCCGCGAACGCAUCUAUCAGAUUGUGUUCUUCAAAGGUGAUAUCUUUGCCAUCGAUGCUCUUAUGAGGCUCCACACUAUACACUUGACACCUCGAUUCAGCAUGCGAGAAGUACCAAUUCAAUGGGAAUUCCUGCCUAUUAACUCAUGGUUGGUGGUCUGUGGUGACAUGCUCCUCAUGAUUGCCCAGAGGUCAAACUCUGGCGGAUUGGGCUCAUCUUUUAAGGUCUUUCGACUCGACUUCACUGUUGAACCAGCCAAGUGGGUGAAGGUGGAGAAGUUGGAAAAUAUUGCCCUGUUUGUUAGCCUUGACAGGAGGGAUCCUACAUUUUCUUGCAUGAGCCCAGAAAGAUGGGGAGGAAAGAGUAACUGCAUUUAUUUUGCAAGGCUAUCUGAAGAUCCUGAUGAAACUUGGACUUCCGCUGAGCUUGGUCAGCUAGUGCCAGAAAACGCAAUUCACCCCAUGUUCUAUGGUAUGUCAUUCCCUCCCGACUGCGGUUUACUGAGUAACCAAUGGGUGUUCCCCAGUUUAAUUUAUGGUUCUGGCUAG